This 26708-nucleotide long non-coding RNA is filed under the name Nicotiana benthamiana. RNAcentral's name for it is "long non-coding RNA (NBEN_LNC011458)". The record is from RNAcentral. Lineage: Eukaryota; Viridiplantae; Streptophyta; Magnoliopsida; Solanales; Solanaceae.
AACAAGCGAAUUUGCACAAGCGCAUGUGAAGCUUUUGUUUCAGUGCUCAAAUUAGGCAUACAUUGUUAGGGAUUCAGGACUUGUACCUAGGAUUUGAAUCACAAUAAGAAGGAAGAGAAGUCAGUAGCAGCGAAGAGAGUGUCCAGCAAAUGAAAUCAACCAAAUAAUUGAAGGAGAAUCAGUUAUAAACAUAGACUUGAACCAAUAAAAACCAGCAAUCAAAAUUUCCACCAAAAUUUGACCCAAAACUUGAAUAUCACGAGCACUCAACUCAUUUUUGACUCAUGAAUACAUAGGAAUUAUUCUAACAAUGAAAACCUCAAGGACCUUCUGGAAAACUGGAAUUUUUGUAUUUUCAGUAGCUUUCUGAGUUUAUUUUUAAAAUUUUUCUUGGAUUGUUUUGAUUUUCUCUAAGAUCUGGAUUUGAAUUUCAAAAUUUUCCAAAGUUUUGAAUCUUUAAUGCUUCGAGAAACUUAUGGGGAUUUUUUCCAGAUUUUCUCCCUUGCUAAACAAGGCAAUGGGCAUGUUUUAUUGGCAAAACUUGGGGCACCCUUCAAAUUUCUGUUUACACCGAAGUCCCUCUCUUAAUUUCAGAUUUUAUUGGUUUAGUCUCUAUAUUCUUGACUUGUUAGCCAAGUCAUUGCAUUAUAAUCUUAGAGUUAUCACUUUAGUCCUAUUCUAGAAGGAUCUAGGGUGUUCUUGCAUUGUUUUCUAUUUAUGGAACACCUAUACUACCCUUACAAAAGGAAAUUAUGGAGCACACAAUCAAAAGGAAAUUCAAAGCUAUAGCUUGAACAUGCAAUCCUAUUAUUUGAACCAAUGAAGAUUUAAAUUAAUUCUAAUUCAUACUAAAAUUAAACAUUAAUCUAAGUUAAACUAAACAAUAACAGGUAAAGAUUCAGGGAUUAAAACUAAAUUUAAACUAACAAAUUGAUGCUAAUGCAACAGAAAUCAGGAGUGGAAAUUAAUCUAAGAAAAUGAGUAACUCAUGGAAUCAUCAGAAAAUAAAAUGCAACUGAAAUAAAGGGUAACCAAAACCAAAAUUAUUGUUUUAUAUUUGUGGAACACUUAUACUACCCUUACCCCUAUCUUGAAAUUACCAAGCCUACCUCAAACAAACCCAACCCCCUUUUGUCUCAAUUUUACUAUGGUCAGUCAACUUAUACCCAAACAUCCCUUAAGAGAAAUUCAAAUGACAAUUACAAACCAACUCAUUUCACACAAAUGGGCUGAGAUUCAACAAUCAAAAGGAAAUGUUAAAUCACAGCUUUUAUUUGAACUAAUAAAGAUUGAAAUCAAUUCUAAUUCAUACUAAAAUUGAACAUUAGAAUAAGCUAAACUAAAUAAUAACCGGUGAAGAUUCAGGGAAUAAAACUAAAUUUAAGUUAACAAUGAAGCUAAUCAGGAGUAGAAAUUAAACUAAAAAGAAAUGUGCGACUCAUGGAAUCAUCACAAAAUAAGAUGCAACCGAAAUAAAGGGUAAUCAAAUUUAACAAGAUUAAUCAGAGAAAAUGAGUAUUCCAAAAGUUGAGAACCAACCAUUAUUUCUAAUUGAAAUAAAUAGUCAGAACAAAUGUAAAACGAAAUCAUCAACAAAAGAAGAAAAACAAUAGAAAGAAAAUAAACUUACUGGUUUUUCUUCAAUUAAACUUGGUUUAAAUAAAUUCGAGCCUCCAAGCGGAACUCAAACGGACUUUUAAAGGUUGAACUCAAAAUUAGGUCAGGCUGGUUUCAAAGUUGGAGAGGUCUGGGCUUAUUUGAAAAGGCCUGGGUGUGUUUUUGGGUAGAUGAGGUCCAGAGGGGUGUGUGGUGGCGAUUUGGAGGCUGUAGGAGCCUGGUCACCGAUGUACAUGGCAAAGAUGCCUCGCACCAAUGAAUAUUCAAGGAGUUGUGGCUAUGUUCGAGGGUCUCUGAUGAUGGGGUUGGAAAGAGAGGAACGAAAGGAGUGUCAGGUGUAACUUUGGGAGCCGUUGGCCACCGGGCGCUGCCGUGGACGGCGGAGCUGCCGGGAUUUGAACGAAUAUGUGACAAAUUCCAUGGGGUUUUGAGGGGUGAUCUUAGGGGCGUGGGAAGAGGAGAAGACGGGGAUUCCAGGGUGUAAUUUUGGAGGUUAUUGGAGUUAUGCUAUCGCCAGCGGUGAUUUCCGGCUAGCGACGGAAGGUGAUGGUAUUGUGGAUGCACGGUAGCAUUACACCGGCUCAGGGAUGUAUGAUGAGGGUGACUUUUGUCUCUGAAAUUGUGAAUAUGUUCAAACCAUUAUAUUUAAAAUGGGAGAGAAAAUCUGGGUCGUGGGAUUAGAGGCGAUGGAUGGUUGAGAUCAAACAACGUCGUUUUGGGCACCUAGGGUUUUUUGACCGGGCAAAGGGGUUGGGUUUGGGUCUGUUUGAGUGGUUUUUGGCUACUUGGGCUGAAAACUAUGGCCCAAAUCAAGGGUCCUCAAUAAAAGCCCCAAUAUAUGUACAUAUUUUCUAAAAAUUCAAAAAAAAAUCACAAAAUUAAUUCCUAAAAAUUCAAAUAAUAAAAGAAAAAUCCUAAUAGUGAAUUUUAUUGGAACAUGUCAAGCGAGGCAAAAAUUACAUGCUCACAGUUGCCCCUCUUUGCUCGGAGACACGAAGGAUUUACGGGCAAAGAUAAAUAAGCAACUGAGAGAUUUUUGCAUGCUGUGCAUUCCAUGAGAAGCAUUUAAAAAACUGUCUGACCGAACCCCGCUUCAAAGGUUGCCUACAUAUCCUUAGCUAUAAAAGAAUCCGGUCAGUAUAGUUCUGGAGUGUUUGGUAGAUGGGACUACCAGAGCUGUAAUAUCACUGCUGAUGCGGCUGUUACUGCUUGCUGACCUCCUUAUUACACCUCGUGAAAAGAUAAAAAAAUUAGACUAAGCUAUAAGCUACAGAUUACAAAGAAAAUCCUAUCUAUGUCUUCAAUCUCGUUCUUGAUCCUUGUCGCUUUGUUGCCUCGUAUUUCUUCCUGCGAACUCCUUGUGGCCUUGCUGACUGCUUGCCUUUUCUUCCUUCAUGUUUGAUGCCGAAUUGUUGGACUUGAAAUGUAUACCCUUGUUUUUCAGGUGGGUUCCUGAUUAUAAAAUUUGAAACUUGAAGACAUUCCUUGUUCUACGGGUGGGCGCUUGAUAGCCAAGACUUGACUUUUGAAAAAUAUUACCUUGUUCUCUAGGUGGGCUCCUGAUUGCCAAAGACUGAAAUUUUGAAAAAUAUUCCCUUAUUCUACAGGUGGGCGCCUGAUUACCAAAAAUUGGAACUUUUGAAAAAUAUUCCCUUGUUCUACCGGUGGGUGCGUGAUUGCCAAAACUUGCAUCUCGAAAAAUAUUCCCUUGUUCUACAAGUGGGCGCCUGAUUGCCGAAACUUGAGAUUUUGAAAAUUAUUCCCUUGUUCUCCAGGUGGGCGCCUGAUUGCUAAAACUUGAAAAUUGAAAAAUAUUCCCUUGUUCUACAGAUGAGCGCCUCAUUACAAAAACUUGGAAUUUUUGAAAAAUAUUCCCUUGUUCUACAGGUGGGCGCCUGAUUACCAAGACUUAAAAUUUGAAAAAUAUACCUUUGUUCUAUAGGUGGGCGCCUGAUUACCAAGAAUUGAAAUUUUAAAAAAUAUUCCUUUGUUCUACAGGUGGGCACCUGAUUACCAAGACUUGACUUUUGAAAAAUAUUCCCUUAUUCUCCAGGUGGGCGCCUGUUUGCCAAAGCCUGAAAUUUUGAAAAAUAUUCUCUUGUUCUACAAGUGAGCGCCUGAUUACAAAAACUUGGAAUUUUUGAAAACUAUUCCCUUGUUCUACAGGAAGGCGCCUUAUUACCCAGACUUAAAUUUUGAAAAAUCUUCCCUUGUUCUACAGGUGGGCGCCUGAUUACCAAGACUUGAAAUUUGAAAAAUAUUCCCUUAUUCUACAGGUGGGCGCCUGACUGCUAAGACUUGACUUUUGAAAAAUAUUCCCUUGUUCUCUAGGUGGGCGCCUGAUUACCAAGACUUGAAAUUUGAAAAAUAUUCCCUUGUUCUAUAGGUGGGCUACCAAGACUUGACUUUUAAAAAAUAUUCCCUUGUUCUCCAGGUGGGCGCCUGAUUGCCUAAGCAUGAAAUUUUGAAAAAUAUUCACUUGUUCUACAGGUGGGCGCCUGAUUACCAAAACUUGGAAUUUUUGAAAAAUAUUCCUUUGUUCUACAGGUGGGGGCCUGAUUGCCAAAGCCUGAAAUUUUGAAAAAUAUUCCCUUGUUCUACAGGUGGACGCGUGAUUACCAAAACUUGGAAUUUUUGAAAAAUAUUCCCUCGUUCUACAGGUGGGCGCUUGAUUACCAAACUUGCAUCUCGAAAAAUAUUCCGUAAGACUAUUUCCUGUGCACCUGACCACAACAAAACAAACGAAACACAAGAAAUUCUUCCUGCGCCAGUUUGGUACUGGGUGGAUAUGUGAGUGUUAAUCAAAUCCCUUUAUCAAAUAUCUCUAAACCUAAGCUAAGUCCCAUUAUCCAGGCGGGUCCUGAUAACUCUUAAUUAGAUGACAAGAUGCGAUUGCUGGGGGUUAGUAUCUAGAGUUACGUCCCAUUAUCCAGGGGGGUCCUGACAACUCUUGUUGACUCUUGCUGGGAAGUACCUAAUCUAAGUACACUUUUUUAGAAGGGCCCUGACAACUCUAACUGAAUCCUACUUCGACAAGUAAGUCAUUUUUUGUCAUUUGUUAUCCAUGAUUACUCCUAACCUUAAAAUGAGUCCCAUUCUCCACGAGGGUCCUGAAGGUUCCGACUUAAAGGCCAGUUCUAACUUCUGGUUGUUUCUUCUGGUGAUCAUUGUCCGGGAGGGUUUCUGCGACUCUUACUGGGGGAGGUGUUGGUGACUGCCCAUGUUACACGUACCUGUCUGAGCUCCAAACUGUGUUCCAUCUCAGCUUCCAUGCUUCUUUUAACUCUCAGUUGUUCCUAUUGGGGUUUGCUAGUUAACGUCUGUCCCUUUGUGCCCUUUGCUGAGGAGGGUGUUUAUGACGGACUAUGUCCCUUUUGAGUUUUAAUUGAGCCCCACUUCUAGGUGGGUCCUGAGAUUUUGAUCAUACCUGCUGUGUGCCUGCCUUCUCCUGUGGACGGCCUCCCUUAGGCUCUUCCAGAAUUUUCUACCCCUGUAUCAAUCAAAGAAAACUUGUCAGUUUGAAAAGUGGUGGUCGGCUCGCGGCAUUCUUGUUGAAGGCAGCCUCCCAAUUGUCGUGUUCCGUUGCGUUCCAUUGCCCGUAUUGAUGAUGAAUGGCUUGAACUGCCCAACCAACCCUUUGGGACCUCUAGGCUUUAUUUUGCCCCCCAUUAUUGUAUUACAUUUCUAAUCCUUUGACGACAUUCUUUAUGUCCUUCCCUGAUGAUUGAUGAGUUGAUAUAUCAUACUUUGGUCGACCCUCCGAACCUUGCGGCUUCAUUUUGUUCUUUAUCUCUGUGUUACAUUUCCACUCCUUUGCCAAAAUCCUUGCAUCCUUUCUUGAAAUCCCCUUGUUUGUCUAUGAUGUUGGUUGGCCUUUACCUUUUGUUCGUUUAUAUUGCUCUCUACUUCGUGUUGCACUUCCGACCCUUUACCCGAAUUAUUUUUUGCCUCUUCCGGAUGAUUGACGAGUUGAUAUAUCAUGCUGGGUCAACUCUCAUGGCCAUUUCCACCUUUGUGUUGCGCUUUUGCCUCUUUUGCCAGAAGCCUUAUACCCUUUUUUGACGAUUGCUGAGUUAGGGUGUUGCGCUUGGCUGAUCCUCGAUAUUUGUGGCUUUGUUUUAUUUCUCAUCUUGGUGUUACAUUUCCGAGCCAUUGCUAAAAUCUUUACCCUUUCUUGGGAUUACCUGGUCCAUUUAUGAUGCUUGACUGACCCUCGAUCUUUGUGGUUUUACUUUGCAUCCCCAUCUUGCGUGGUGUUUCUUUACUUUGCCCACUCUUGUCUCUUCCAUCAAUUACAGUUUUUUUGUGAAUCCUUCCCCUUGGUGUUCCACACUUGUUAUCUUUGUUACGCCUUUAGGCAUCAUGCGCUUUGUCCCUUUGGGAAUUGAUAAUCGGCUUUGAAAUUCCUCUUGUUCGCUUAAACAAAAGACUUUAGAGACUCAAAAGAAAAAUGAAAUGCAAUGACUCUGAACGGUACUUAGGGUAAAGAAUUCCAGAUUCACUGAUUGUUGAAAAGAAGAGAAAGACAACUUACUUGAAGAGGAACAACUGGUUUUCAUGAUCAUGACAUGCACUUUAGCUUAAUCGACCCAAUCUGUUUCGAUGACCGACCUUCUGUUGCCGCGCUUUUGAUGUUGUGACCUUUCUAACCCAAUUCUUUCAACAAAACCCUAGCUUGGCUUGCCUUACAGUGUUCAUCCACCAAUAGCCCCUUUCUGAGUUUUGCUUUUUGCCUUACAGUGCCUGUGAGGGUUUUCACCAAUGAGGCUCUCUCAUUUUUAUUUCUCUCAACUCUCUUCGCCUUAAGGUUCCCAUGAGGGUUUUUACUAGAUAAGACUCUCUCAUUUUAUUAUCUUUCCCGUUUGGGCCGGAGUACUGCCCUUGACAUGAAUCACCUCUACUUGCCCAACUUGGCAUCUUUUGAAGACUGAUCAGAAGGUCUUUCUUUGGACCGUAACGUGGGAUUUUGGAUAAGGUUAGAAAGAAAGGAUACCAAAGGCUCAAAGAAAUUCAAAUGGGUCAAGAGUUACAACUUUUGGAAUCAAAUUCUUACAACGACCACAACUUCUGCCCCAGUUUCGUGCUUGGGGAUUUUUGCAUUUUUAUUUUGAUGAGACCGAACCGUGAUGAUGCCUACGUAUCCUUUUAAAAGGAAUCAGGUCAAACGUAGUUCAUACCUAUUCCUUGUUUUUGUUGUUGUUUUUCUUCUCCCCUUUUGUGAUUUCCUUCUCUCUUUUUCUGUUUUGUUUUGUUUUCUUUCUUUCCUUUUCCUUUUCUCUUUUCUCUUUUUCUUUUCUUUUCUUGUUUUCCUAUUUUUUCCUUUUUCUUUUUCUUUCUUUUUCUUUUUCUUUCUUUUUCCUUUUCCAUUCUUUUCAUUUUUUCCUUUCCUUUCCUUUUAUUGCCUUCUCACACUUGCGCUUCCGACUUUUGUUACUGAUUCCGAAAGAGGGGUAUGAAAAGAAAUUACUGACGCUCAAAGAGGUUAGCAAAGGAUAGAGUAUUUAGAUAGCGAAUAAAAUGCCUUCGUCAUUCCAAUUUUAAAAAUAUGCUAAGUACAAACAAGUGUCGAGUAUAGACAAUGAUCUAAAAGAAAAUGAUACAUAAUAUCUUUUGUCAGCGUCCAAAUUGAUAGCCAUUUCCACACAUUUUCCUUCCACAUCUGUCAGAUACAAUGCUCCAUUGGACAACACUCUUUAUACGAUGAAUGGUCCUUGCCAGUUUGGAGCGAGCUUACCCUUUUCCUUGGCCAAGUGAGGAUGGAUGCGCUUUUAUACCAAUUGACCUACUUCGAAAUUUCUGGGGCACACUUUCUUACUAUAUGCCCUAGCCAUCCUUUGUUGAUACAACUGGCCGUGAUAGAACGCUGCAAAUCUUUUCUCGACAAUCAUACUCAAUUGCUCCAAACGAGCUUUAACCCAUUCUUUAUCAUCGAUUCCUGCUUCGGCCAUGAUUCAAAGAGAGGGGAUUUCAAUUUCAGCCGAGAUUACCACCUCUGUGCCAUACACCAACAAGUACGGAGUGGCCCUUACUGAAGUGUGGACAGUGCUGCGAUAGCCUAAUAAUGCGAAAGGCAGCUUCUCAUGCCUUUGCCUGUUCCCUUCCACCAUUUUACGAAGUAUCUUCUUUAUGUUCUUAUUGGCCGCCUCAAUGGCUCCAUUUCCCUUGGGGCGGUAUGGAGUAGAAUUUCAACGCGUGAUCUUAAAUUGCCGACACACUUUCCUCAUUAAGUGACUAUUGAGGUUUGCCCCAUUGUCCCUGAUGAGCGUCUUGGGGAUCCCGAAUCGACAAAUGAUGUUCUCAUGCACAAAGUCGGCCACGACCUUUUUGGUCACUGCCUUGAAAGUUUUGGCAUCAACCCAUCUGGUGAAAUAGUCAAUAGCAACCAAGAUAAAUCUGCGCCCGUUAGAAGCCGCUGGUUCAAUGGGCCCGAAGACGUCCAUGCCCCAAACAACGAAAGGCCAUGGCGCAGACAUCGUAUGCAACUCAGACGGUGGAGAGUGAAUUAAGUCUCCAUGCACCUGACAUUGGUGGCAUUUGCGCACAAAGCGGAUAGAGUCCCGCUCCAUGGUGAGCCAAUAAUAUCCUGCCCAGAGAAUCUUCUUUGCCAAAACAUAUCUGCUCUUGUGUGGCCCGCAGACGCCAGCAUGCACCUCAUUCAAAAUGGCUGUCGCAUGCCCAACAUCUACGCAUCUUAAAAAACCAAGAUCUGUUGUUCUUUACUGAAGAAAAACCCACUUGACAAACGACGGAUUGUUCUCUUCUGGUCACCCGUGGCUUGUGCCGGGUACACAUCUCUCCUGAUAUAUUCCUUGAUGUCGUGGAACCAAGGCUCGCUGUCACUCUCUUCUUCCACCAUGUUGCAAUAAGCAUGUUGAUCAUGGACCCGGAUAUGUAUCGGGUCAAUAUAAGCCUUGUUUGGAUGAUGUAAUAUUAACGCCAAAGUAGCCAGGGCAUCAGUGACCUCAUUGUGAAUUCUAGGGAUGUGCCUGAACUCUAUUGACCAGAAUCAUCGACAGAGAUCAUGCAAGCAUUGCCAGUAGUAUGAGUGUAAGCCUUGUCCGUAUGAUGUAACACUGACGCUAAAGUAACCAGGGCAUCGGCAACGUAAGCCUUGUCCGUAUGAUGUGCUUGAACUCUAUUGACCAAAAUCGUUGGCAGAGAUCAUGUAAGCAUUGCCGGUAAGGUAUGAGUUUUAAAUCUCUCGCUUCUAACUCCCGUUGAAUCUGGUGUACCAGAAGUUCUGAGUCUCCCAAGACCAAGACUUCUGGACACCCAUGUCUGCUUCUAAUCUCAAACCCAAAAUAGAUGCCUCAUCUUCUAUCAUGUUGUUGGUGUAAUAGAAGCGGAGUUGAGCUGUGACUAGGUAAUGAUGAGCUUCUUCAGAAAAGAGCACCGCUCCUAUCCCAACGCCUUUCAUGUUGGCGGCCCCAUCAAAAAAAAUUUCAAUCCCGAAUUCUCAUCUCAUUCUGAUUCAUCAAUAUGCAUUACUUCCUCGUCCGGGAAAUAUGUGUUCAAGGGCUCAUAUUUUUCAUCUAUAGGAUUCUCAGCUAAAUGGUCUGCCAGUGCUUGUGCUUUCAUGGCAGUCCUAGUCACGUAGAUAAUGUCAAACUCAGUGAGCAAGAUUUUNNNNNNNNNNNNNNNNNNNNNNNNNNNNNNNNNNNNNNNNNNNNNNNNNNNNNNNNNNNNNNNNNNNNNNNNNNNNNNNNNNNNNNNNNNNNNNNNNNACUUCAUGUGGGCAUGGGCUUCUGGAAAAUGUAUUUCAAUGGGUCCAGCCGUGAGAUGAGAUAUGUAGUAUAUGAUGACAAGUAAUGCUUUAACUUCUGGGCUACCAACGUCAAGGUGCAACAUGUCCUUUCAAGAUGAGUAUACUUAACUUCGUAAGCUGUGAAUUUCUUGCUGAGGUGGUAUAUAGCAUGCUCUUUUCUCCCGGUAACAUCGUGCAGACCCAACACGCAACCAAAUGAGUUGUCCAAGACUGUCAAGUAUAGGAUCAAAGGCCUUCAUGGUUCCGACGGGACCAAUACCGGUGGGUUCGACAAAUAUUCCUUUAUCCUAUAAAAAGCCUCUUGACACUCUCCCAUCCAUUUUACCACUGAAUCCUUUUUCAAUAGCUUAAAGAUGGGCUUGCAGAUGGUUGUGAGUUGAGCAAUGAACCGACUGAUGUAAUUCAAUCUUCCCAAUAGACUCAUCACUUCUAUUUUGUUCCUUGGCGACGGUAAUUCCUGUAUAGCUUUGAUCUUUGAUGGAUCUAGGUCCAUGCCCCGGCGGCUGACUAUGAACCCUAACAACUUUGCCGAGGGGACUUCAAAUGAGCAUUUCACCAGGUUGAGUUUGAGGUCAUACCUGCAGAUCCUUUGGAAGAAUUUCCUCAGGUCUUUGACAUGAUCAGAUUGCUUUCUAGACUUGAUUAUCACAUCAUCCACAUAGACCUCAAUUUCUUUUUGAAUCAUAUCGUGAAAAAUGGUUGUCAUGGCCCUCAUGUAUGUUUCCCCAGCGUUCUUAAAAUCAAAAGGCAUGACUCAAUAACAAUAUGUCCCCCACGGUGUAAUGAACGUUGUUUUCUACGCAUCUUCUUCAUCUAUUAAGAUUUGGUGGUAUCCUACAUAACAAUCCACGAAUGACUCGAUCUCAUGUUUCACACAAUUGUCGAUCAAUAUAUGGAUGUUUGGCACGGGGAAGUUGUCUUUUGGACUUGCUUUGUUGAGGUCACGGUAAUAAACACACACCCGGGCUUUACAUUCCUACUUUGGUACAUGCACAACAUUAGCUAACCAAGUGGGGUAUCAUGUGACUCAGAUGACUUUUGCCUCAAACUUCUUGGUCACUUCCUCUUUAAUUUUCACACUCAAAUCAGUUUUGAAUUUUCUCAACUUUUGCUUGACAGGCGAGCAUGCUGCUUGGUCACUUCCUCUUUAAUUUUUACACUCACAUCAGUUUUGAACUUUCUCAACUUUUGCUUGACAGGAGGGCAAGCUGGGUCAGUGGGUAACCUGUGGACCACCAAGUCAGUGCUCAACCGGGCAUGUCGUUGUAGGACAAUGCAAAGACAUCUUUGUACUCAUGCAACACUUCAAUUAUUCUUUCCUAAGUUGUGGCUCCAGAUGGACACUUAUUUUUGUUUCUAUGGCAUUAUCCGGACUUCCUAAAUUGAUUGCCUCUGUAUUAUUCAGGUUUGGUUUGGGUUUCUCUUCAAAUUAAGUCAAUUCUUUACUAAUCUCAUCACAUGCCCCUUCUCAUCAUACCUUGGUUCAUCCUCAUGUUCUAUUUCCUAAAUUAUUAUUUCUGAACUAGACUUGUUUUGAAGAUUGGGCCGAGGAGUCCUUAUGCAUGUCAGAUAACUGGAACCAGCGUAAAAAAUAACUGUACAAAAGAGAAAAGAAAGAAAAGUAAAGAGAAGUGGAAACUAUCAGCAUUGUUGAAAGGGAAGUUGCAUUUCAUUAGAAUCAAAGACAUCAGAGUUUACACAUCCAAACGGACGGAAAUAACAACUGAAUUAAAAACUCUUAUGCUAAUCCAAACUAGACUGGAAGGAAAAUCAAAGCCGACUACCACGACUCCCUCCGAGUGGGAGGAGGAGUGGCCUCCUAGUUAUUGAUAUUUGCCCAUGCUCCCACAAACUGCACAUCUGCCCUGCUUGAUCCUUCUCCUGUCUCGACCAUACUCACCUCAUUGAACAGUCUAUAUAACCCCUUAUAAAGAUCUCCGUCUGCGUCAAUCAGCGGGCCAAAAAUUUUAAGUCUGGGACCAUUGUUGGUGCUGGACUUGACAAAUGAUUUGGACAACUUUGGGAUGGGCUUUGAGAGGGCCCAAGCCUUCUGCCUUAACUUCCUGGCUCGCCUUAUAUCUACAGAUUUGGGCUUGAAACCUACGCCGAAAGUGUCUAGAUUUUUGGGGAGGGACACUGGUUGCACAAUGACUUCCAGAGAAGUCCCCAAGCCAUUGCCGGGCAUAAAAUAAUUUUUCAACAUUUCUGAAGCCACCAUGACGGACGCGGUUGCUAUCUUUGGGGUUGUGACAAUCUCACCUUCUGGGAUUUUUGGACUGACACAGUAUCAAACACCCGGUAGACCCAUGGCCCUUUGUUGUCCUCAGAUUCAAUGAAAGGUACGAUCGCAUCACCUGAAGUGCCCUGAUUGUCUUCACCAUGCACCACAAUUUCUUACCUGUCCCAUUCAAAUUUGACCAUCUGAUGCAGCGUAGAUGGCACUGCUUUGGCUGCAUGAAUCCAGAGCCUACCCAACAACAGGUUAUAAGAUAUUGCUACAUCCCGCACUUGGAAUUCCAUGGUGAACUCAACGGGCCCUAUUGUCACUUCCAGCACUACAUCCCCCACAGUGUCUUUGCCUCCGCCAUCGAAACCUCGAACACAGAUGUUAUUAUUGCAGACCUUUUCAUUUUCUACCUUUAGCCUGGUCAAUGUGGACAAUGGACAAAUAUUUGCACUGGACCCGUCGUCGACCAAAACUCGGGUAACCACAACAUCUUCACAUUUCACAGCCAGAUAAAGAGCCCGGUUGUGCUCAGUGCCCUCCAUGGGCAGUUCAUCGUCAGAGAAUGUGACCCGGUAUACCUCUAACAUCUUGUUUGCAAUCUUUUCCAAAUGAUUCACCGUUAUCUUGUCUUGGAUAUGGGCUUCAUUCAAAAUCUUCAUCAAUGCCCGGUGUUCAUCUGAAUGGAUUAGUAAGGAUAACAAAGAAAUAUGAGUUGGUAUCUUCCUCAACUGCUCUAUGAUGAAGUAGUCCUACAUUUUCAUUUUCUUCAAGAAUUCUUCCGCCUCUUCUUCUGACACAGCUUUCUUCACUGGUUCUGGGUUAUCUUUAGAGAUUCUGCCCUUUCUCAAUUCUUCCGGGGCGAAGUACCUUCCUGAUCGAGUUAAACCCCGUGCCUCACACACUUCAUCCUUAACUUCUUUUCCCUUGUACAUCACUAUUGCUCACUCAUAUCUCCAAGGAACAGCUUUGUUGUUGAUGAUUGGUGGUUGGCUCACUGGUUUUACAAUAACUGGCUCCAUGCGAACACCUUCCACAACCACGACAGGUUCUCUAGCUGCCCCAUGUACUGUUACUCUUGCAUGUUCCUGCUUUGGCGCAAUCACGCAUGCUGAUCUCUUUUGAACUAUGACAGAUUUUCUUCCUCUUUCUUUUGCCUCGGUUACUAGCUUCUCACUACUUGCACUCUCAAUUAGCUUAAACUUACUGGCUUUGAUCAUCAUUACCAUUUGUGGGGGCCUUUUGGACUCUCCCCUUUUUACUACAAUCUCAAUCGUUUUGGUUUCCUGAAGGGCCGGUAGCGGGUUUUGGUUAAUACUGGCACCUCUAGGGUCUGCACUUUGAUCCGGUGGGAGUCAAUAAGUUCCGGGAUGGCGUUCUUUAAAAACCAACACUUUUCGGUGUCAUGCCCUGGUGCACCGGAACAGUAUUCACAGCUGACUGAAUAAUCUAAAUUCUUUGUGGGAGGAUUUUGCAGUUUCGCUUCAAUUGGUCUCAACAUAUCCAGUUGUCGCAGCCUAUGGAAUAAGCUAGUGUAGGAUUCUCCCAGCGGAGUGAAAGUCUUCUUCUUUUGUACCCUUUCAUUUCUCAUGACCAGAUUGGCUCGGAAAGUAGGAUUCGGGGGUUGUUGGUAAGAUCUUGGAGGGGGGAAUAUGCUAGUGUAAGAUUCUCCCAGCAAAGUGAAAGUCUUUUUUUUCUGCACCCUUUCAUUUCUCAGGACUGGAUUGGCUCGGAAGGCGGGCUUUGGGGCUAUUGGUAGGCUCUUAUGGGUAAGCAAUGAUUUUGUGGUGUUGGGUAGGAACUUUAUGGGGGUGGUGCACACCAUUGUACGUGAGCGGGAGGAUGGGUAUAUGCUUACGCAUGAUGGACUGAGAAGUGGGGUUCUGGUGGUAGAUAGUAAUAUUGUGGUGGGCCGUAUGGAGUAUGCGGGUAUGUUUGGUAGUGAGGACGGGGCUGGAAGGAAGGAUAUGGCACCCGAGGUCUAAACCAAGUUCCCGACACCACUAUCGAUACUUCAUCCUUCUUCUUCUUUAUGAAUGUUCCCCCAACUCCACCCUGGAUGGCCUGAGUAGUUGCCUUAAUUGCAGAGUAGCUCAUGAUUUUAUUGGAUUUGAGACCUUCCUCAACCAUACUUCCAUCUUGACUACUUCGUUGAAAGAUUUUUCCACUGCUGACACCAAAUGUCCAAAAUAGGUAGGCUUCAAAGCUUGUAGAAAAUAAUACUUCAUUGAAAGACUUCCCCACUUCUAACACGAAAUGCCCAAAAUAGGUAGGUUCCAAAGCCUGUAGAAAAUAAUCAACCAUCUCGCUCUUCUUCAUGGAAGGAUCAACUCUAGCAGCUUGUUCCCUCCACCAGAAACCGUACUACCUGAAACUCUCGUUGUGUUUAUUCUCCAGCUUUGUCAGAGAUAGAUGAUCCGGGACAAUCUCGAGAUUAUAUUGAAAGUGGCAGGCAAACGCUUGUGCCAUGUCAUCCGAAGUAUACCACCGAUUGUGAUGUUGCCGAGAUUAUACCACUCAAGCGCCAACCCACUUAAACUCUGGCUAAAGUACGCCAUUAGCAAUUCAUCGUUUCCCCCCUGCUCCCCUGAUCUUGCUGGAAAACUCCCUUAGAUGCGCGACCGGAUCGCCAUGCCCAUUAUAUAAAUCAAAUUUAGGCAUCUUUAAACCUGGAGGUAACUGCACGUCUAGAAAUAGACAAAGGUACUUGAACGCCAAGCUCACCUUUCCACCUAAUCCCAACAUGCCCUUGAAUGAUUGUUCUACACUCUGAACUUUUCUAAGCAUCUCUUCCUGCUCAGGAUUUUUGAUUGGUUUUUCAACUCCCACCAGGAUUUCGGGACGGGGAGAAUAAGAAUAAGGCUCAAGGGUCUAGUAAGCAGGUUCUAGUGGAUAGCAUUGAGGGUCAUAAGUUUGAAGCAGGGGUUCACUUGACGACCUAUGGAGUGUAGGAGGCGGAGGUACCACACAAAUAGGGGCAAUUGGCGAAGGAGGGUGAGGAGUGACUUUGGGUAGUGGAGCUGGUGGUGGUUGAGAGGUCGUACCCUGCUAUUGUGAAUAUAUAGGAAAACUUGAGGGUGGAUCAGUGGUGGACUGGUCAGGUUCUUGGGCCAGUGGCGGGAUAAAGGUUGGAUUAACAGGAUAGGUCAGGGGUGGCUGUCCUCUUGCCCAUUCUUGGUACGUCUCAACCAUUUGGUGCUUUAGCUUAUACAUUUCCUCCUUCAUAGCAUUAACGUCCAAUUCCUCCGCUUCCUUGAGGGGUCAAUAAUGCUGACAUUGGCUUCCUGAUUGGCCAUGACUUUCUUGCUUUUAGACCGCGUCUUGUAGGAGUGGGUUGCCAGAAUGCUGCGAGUACUAAUCACCUAUCUAGUUUGAAAUUGGAAUUGCACCAAAAACUCAUUAACAGUUAGGUUCUAGCACAUAAACGGCCAUAUAUUAGGUAUGAAUGCACCUAAUUGAAAGUCGAUCACUACAUGCAUUGGUUGCUUGCGUCAUCCCAUCUUUUACUUCUUUAUUUCCGAAGCCCCUUUGUUUUAGCCUUAUUAUCCCCCUCUUUCAUUCACUUUCUCUCUAAUUUUAUUCAAUUAUGGUCGAAUCCUAUGUAUAUUUCCUACGUAUCAUGACCCCGCAUGAAUCAGACCGAGCGUAGUUCUUGCGAAUAAAACAAACGAACCAUAAAAUAUUUCAAAAAUUCCAUUCUUACAAUAACAAACUUCAGUUACAAUGACUCAAAAAACUGACAAAUUAAACAAGAAACUAACAAGCUUUGAUAAAAAGUGAACUACAAACUCGAAAAAAAAUUAACUAUGCAUAAAAGAAAACUACAGACUCCCUGUUAACCAAUAUAUUUUGACAAAAGCAAGCGUAAUCUUUAUGAAUACAUUAAUGCUUCAAAUGCUCCUGGGCCUCGAGGGGUAUCAUUCGGCCUUGCCGCAGGCUUGCCUGCUAAGCUCCCUUAUAGGUGGUGGAGGUCCUUCAUCACUUGCUGAACAAAGGUCAUGGCGGUGGCGAAGAACAUGGAUCUUGUCAUAUCGUUGCAAUGGUUGCAAUUUGUGGUGAUGUAGUCUGCGAUCGCCGUACUCUUUCCUUAAUAACACCCUUUUCUUGCAACAAUCACCCAAUUUGCUUAGCCCCUGCCUCUAAAGUCGCUCGGUCGCCUGAUUCAGUUACUGGAAUUUCCGAAAAUCCAUCUCCAACCUUGUUAUAGCUGCAUAACAUUAUUCUCUUUCGGCUUUGAGGUCCCCUACUUGCUUGGCCACUCUGUUCUCAGCCAUGAUGACCCUCUAUUUUAACCUAGCAACCUCAUCGUCAUGCUUUUCCUUUAAUUGCUCAAUGAUGCGGGCUCGUUCCUCCACACUUUUAGCUAACUAUUUUCGAACUCUGGAUAGUUCGCCUUCUGCCUUGUUCAAGUCAAACCAAUAAUCAGUUACUUUUCGCCUCAAAUUGUCUAUGAGUUUUUCAUCCUUCGCACUCCUGGGGGGAUUUUCCGUGGCUGCUUUCAUUUUCUAUAUUUGGGCUCGCAACGCCUCGUUUUCUUUGGUUAAUCUUUUCUUUUCUCCCUCAUCUGUUGCGGCUUGCAAACCGUUUUAAAAUUGAAGCUCUUUCACCUGUUUUUCUAAUAUUCCUAUGGAGGCCCUGUAUUCAUUUUCCUUGACUAGCCAAUCCCAUUGCUCUUGUGAUGUUUCAACAAAUUCCUGGAGAUGCGGUCUUUUAGCUGGCCUCCCAGGCUCUAUAUUUUUUUUAUACCACGCAGUGUAUCCCGGUGUAGCACCGCCUUUAGAUAUGUCACGUACUCGGGUAACUGGUGUUAUGUAUUGACAUUCGUUCCAGAUUUGACGCACGACGGCUUCAGGGAAUUGACCUUUGUGGCUAAUCUCAACCGCAUGGCGGCUAAUAUCCUCGUCCUGGGAAUUAUUUGGCACCUACCUAAUUGCCUUAGUACCCUGUAUGGAGCAUAAGGUUGGAUACUUCGGAGACCCAUCAGAAGGAAAUGAGGCCCGGUGGCUGGCAUAUACACGAUUUCAUCCACGAGAAGCCACCCGAAAGUCCACUCUAUCUGAUUUGCAGUGACAACCGGGAGAUGUGAUACCCACUCCGUGACACCCUCAGGUAACAUAAACCCAUCAACCCUGUAGUAGAAUUCUUCUAUGCAGCUCUUUGUUGGUGACCCAUAAUUCAUGAACCGAGGACGGUGGCAUAAGUGCUCGAUCAUACAUAUUUAUAACAAUAGGUUACAUCCUUCAAAGAAGUCUCCUCCCGCUUUACAAGCGGUGAGAGCACGGAAGAUCUCGGAUAAGAUCAUAGGAGCGAGGGUGCUCUUGGCCUGAGUUAUUAAAGCGCUGAUAACCCCUGCUAUCCGUAUAUCAAUAUUUCCACCCUUCUGCGGAAACACCAAAAGACCCAAGAAGAAUACCAUGUAUGUAAAACAUCGGUGCUCCUCAAAUUUGAGUUGGCUUCCUUUUCCACAAAUAUGGUUUUCCGGGUUAUUGAAUCCCCCUAUGUGCCUGUAUCUCUAAUAUAUAAAUUGUGCGUAUAGAAGUCGGCUGACAGGUUUGGGUUGUGAACCUUCCUACUGAUUUUUAAGGAGUCCAGGAACUUGUGCACGGCGAGGGAUCUUAGCGCAAUCAGGUAUUGGUGCCUCAGGAGAAUCGUAGGGGUCCCAAUAUAUCCAGUUAUUUCUUCCAAUGCCAGUGUGAGUUCAAAAUCCGAGAAAGGGAAUACAUUGUGAGUCGAAUCCUAGAAUUGGAUAUUUUUUGGCUAUUUUUGCAAAAGGGAGGUUGGACCCGAUGGGGGUUGCCUACGUAUCUCGUACCUGAGGAGAAUCAAACCGGCGUAGUUCGGGCAAAAAAAUUUAUGAAAACCAAAACUCUGAGAAAAAGCCCCCUUUUCUUUUGUUUUGUUGUUUUUUCUUUGAAAAAUCCGGUAGCAUUUCGGCGCUAUUUGAGCAUCCGUUUACAAGACAAAUGAUUCCUCUCAGCCAGCCUAGUACCACUUGUUUUAUCAAUUUCCUUUCCUUAUUCGCAAGCCGGUCAAUAUGCAAAUCCAAAGCAACUAAAUGCAGAGGUAACACGUAAUAUGCAUCAAGAUGGUCUUUUCAUUUCGGGUCACCUGUCCUAGACGGACCCAACCCAUGUGUUGAGUCCCCUAUAUUCAUAAGCCGAUCAACAUGCGAAUCCAAAGCAAAUGAAUGCAUAAGUAACACAUAAUAUGUAUCAUGAUGGUCUUUUGUUUCAGGUCACCUGUCCUAGACGGACCAAACCCCCGUGUUAAGUCCCCUAAGUCAAAUUCAUGAAGCAAAUAAACGUCCCUACUAGGGAUCCGGCAUGAGGUUUUGUUAUACAAAUUUCAGAACCUCUGUAUAGGGUCUAAACUAUGUACCCGAGCGGACAACUCGAGUCGAGGAGGGGGCUGCGUACCGGGAACCAAAAGGCCAUCCGGCUUAGUAACUUGUCCAACCUCUUUCUUAUUUCAGGGUAUGAUACUAGCAGAAUAAGGAGUCUCAACCAGUAAGCACAUCCUCAUAGGUGAGGAGAGAAGGGUUUCGUAGCAGUUAAUAUGUGCAGUUCAGAUAAUAUCAAAGCAGUAAAAGCAUCAGUUUGCACAUUAAGCCAAAUGUAAAAUAAUAUAAUAAACAAAUCCAAAUACAACAAUUAUUCUAAGCUCGAAGUCUUGGACCCUGAACUAGAGAUUCUGGGUUCGGUCCCCAGCAGAGGCGCCAGAGCUGUAACACCUCCUCUUCGCCACUACAACCCUGCGAAAAGCAUAGAUAAGGGAUUUUUUCCAAUUAAAGGACAAUCGAAACGGGGUUCAAUUAUUUAAGAGAUUAGAGGCGAUGGACGGUUGAGAUCAAACGACGUCAGACAACGUCGUUGUGGGCGCCUGGGUUUUUUGGACCGGGCAAGGGGUUGGGUUUGGGUCUGUUUGAGUGGGUUUUGGCUACUUGGGCUGGAAAAUAUGGCCCAAAUCAAGGGUCCUCAAUAAGAGCCCCAAUAUAUGUACAUAUUUUCUCUUUUUGUAUUUUUUAUUUAUUUUCAUAUUCAAAUAUAAAAAUAGAAAUAAACCAAAAUAGAUUUAUCUUCUACAAAAUAAACUAAUUAACCUCUAAAAUAACCUACAUUAUAAAUUUAAAGGAAAAUAAACAAAUGUACGAAUAACAAUGUUUUGCUAUUUUUCUUUCUUUAUUCUCAAUAUUAACUAAUAAACCCUAAAAAAUAAAGAUUAAGUCCUAAAUGCAAAUAUGUCAUUUUUGUAUUUUUAUGAAUUAUGCAAAUUAAAACAUGCGACAUUCAAAUAAACACAAGAUUAUGCAAUUAAUUCCUAGAAUUCAAACAAACCCAAAAUCACGCAAAUAAAUACUAAAAAUUCAAAUAACAAAAGAAAGACGUAAGUAAACACGAAAUCACACAAUUAAUUCCCAAAAUUCAAAAAAAAAUCACACAAUUAAUUCCUAAUAAUUAAAAUAAUAAAAGAAAAAUCCUAAUAGUGAAUUUUAUAGGAACAUGUCAAGCGAAGAAAAAAUCACGUGCUCACAUCGAUAUUAUUCUAAAUGGGAUUAAUUAUUCGAUUAUCAGAGUCGCCACUUGGGAUAGUUUGUUUUGGUGUCCCAAGUCACCGGUUUAUUUUAAAUCCCAAAUCGAGGAAUAUUCAACUUUACUUUUGAAGUAGCGAACCAGAAAUUCUGUUAACCCGAGGAAAGGUGUUAGACACCUCCAGAUUCAGUGGUUCUAGCAUGGUCGCUUGAACAAGCAUAAUUGCCCGAUUAUCUGAUUUUAAUACAUGUAUUAAACCUAUGGUGAAAUUUUUAACUUAUUAACCGCUUUCAAAUUAUUUUUUAGGAAAGAUUCAUCGUUAUUUAAAAUAUGCCUUGAACCAUGCCACAUAAAAUACACCCGCGAUCCACGACACAUUUUAUUUAAUAUUGUUGAGAAUUGAAGUUGGGUCACAUGAAAUGCACACCCGAAUUUAAAGAAAUUAGUUUAAAUAGCGCACCUAAAACAACUACGCAUUUUCAAAUAUGCGAGGACCAUAAAAAAUUCUACUAAUAGUGCAACUUAAUUUUAAAAAAGUUCAUAUUAAUUAUCCGAGGGUCAUGAGAAAUUAUUUCAUCUAUGGAUUCAUAUUGUUGGCUACUUCCAAUUAGUCACCUUACUUCUGAACGCUAAGUACUAUAGGACACGGUCAAGUAUUCUUUUUUUUUUAAGAAUCUAGACCCGGUAAACUCAUUCAGAUAUAGUCAACAUGAAUCCAAAUGCAACAAUUAGUUUAUCAACCACUUCAAAUCCAUUAACAUUACAAAGUCUUUACAAUAACUAAAAGCCUUUUGUAUAUAUUGGGCGAGCGACAUAAAUUAAGGGAUAAAAAUUACAUUUUUCUUUUCCAAACUGCAUAGAAAACAUCACUAUAAGAUAAACCAUUACAAAUGCAACAUUGUUAUACUUUUUUGUUAAUCAUCAGAUCAACAAUACUUAUUGCCCCUUCAUGGUUCAUGAAACAACUACUGUCUUUCCCGCUUCAGGCUGCACGAUGGGCAUGUAUAUUGUUUUAUAUUCUCAACUUUAGCAAGAGUUGUCUUUAACACAUUUUGUGACGACCCAAAGGGUCAUCACCUGUUUUUAAUCAAAUUAUGUUCUUUCGAAAUUUUGAGAAUCUCAUUUAGAGUUGCCUCAAUUUUCAUGCGUAGUCCGAGCACGUAGCCGGAAAGUUUAAAUAUGAAAUUCUGUGAAAAAUACUAAGUUUUCUUGCUAAAAUGAAUAAAUUUGACUUCGGUCAAUAUUUUGGGUAAACGGAUCCGGACCUGUAAUUCGACGGUUCCGGAGGGUCCGUAGGAAAAUAUGGGUCUUGGGCGUGUGCCCAGAAUCAAAUUCCGAGGUUCUAAGCCCGAGAAAUAAAUUUUUAAGUGAAAUUGUUUCCUGAAAUUAUUUAAGGAAAUUUGAAAUGAAAUCUGAUUAGAAAGCAAUGGCAUCGGGCCCGUAUUUUGGUUCGGGUGUCCGGUAUAGGCCUUACGUAUGACUUGAGUCAUUCAUGUGAAAUUCGGUUAAAACGGAUGUCGUUUGACGUGAUCCAGACCUUAAUUUGGAAAUUUUGAUGUUUAAAGGAGUUUUGAGAAAUUUCAGUGAUCUUGAGGUUUAAUUCGAUGUUCGUGAUGUCAUUUUGGUGAUUUGAUUACACGAAUAUGUUCGUAGAAUAUUUUUGAAGUUGUGUAUAUAUUUGGGUAGGAGUUUUGAGGGCUCAAGUGAGUUUCGGGUAGGUUUUGGGAUGCCUUAGGCUUAGAAAUCAGAUGUUGCAGGUUCAUGAAGUUGCAGGCCUCUGAAUCCACUUGUGUUGUCCGCGAGAAAUUGCGUGUGACCGCGGAGGGGCCAGCGCGACCGUGGUCACCUUUGUGCGGUGCGCGAUGGAGGCUUUGCGGCCGCAGUCGCCUUUGUGCGGUCCGCACAGGGUGCUGAACUACAGGUCUCCGGGAAAGCCUAUAUGGCUGCGGUCCAUUUAGUGCGGUGCACACAAGGGUCUGCCAGAGGUAUAAAUAGAUGGGAUUUUCAGUUAUUUUUUAUUUUUCAAAACCCUAAAAACAUAAGAGGUUAUUUUUCAAGCAGCCUUUCUUCUCCAACCCAAUUUUAAGUCAUUUUUAACUAGUUUUCUUCAAUCAUUAACAUCUUUUAACAUGAUUUCGACUUAACAUCAAAGAGGGGAAAUUGAGUGUUUUGGGUAAAACCUAGGUUUUUAAAAAAUUGGGGAUUUGGACAUUAAUUUGAGGUCCAAUUUCAAAACAAAUUACAUAUUUGAAUUAGUGGGGGAAUGGAUAAUCGCAUUUUGGUUCGAACCCCGAGUUUUGACCACGUGGGCUCGGGGGCGAUUUUUGACUUUUGGGUAAAACUUUGGAAAACUCAUUUUCAUGCAUUGGGGUUGAUUUAUUUAGCGUUUAUUGAUGUAAUUAAGUAAUUUGUGAUCAGAUACGAGCGAAUUAGCAGUGGAAUCAAGGGGUAAAGCUAUAAUUGAAGCUUGAGUCGAUGUUCGAGACAUCGAGGUAAGUGUUCGAUUUUGUGAUUAGAUACAAACAAUUUGGCAGUGAAAUCAAGGGGCAAAGCUAUAAUUGAGACUUGAAUAGUGUUCAAGGCAUUGAGGUAAGUGUUCAGUCUACCCUAGCUUGAGGGAUUAGGAGUUGAGUCAUAUUUGCUAUCUUGCUCCAUGUUGAGUACGACGUAUAGGCAUGGUGACGAGUAUCUAUACAUUGGUGUCAAGUAUGACUGUUAGUUUUAAAUUGAAAGUUGUUGUGUUCUUAAAGGACAUUUCGGAUGCCUUAACUAAUGAUCUACCAUAUCGAGCAAAGAUUUAUUCAUCCUCGUAGAUCCUAUUAUGAUUGAGCAUUUUCAUUAAUCGAGCUGAGUAUAAGCUAAGUUGAGGUUGGUUAUAGCUGAUUCUCCCAUGUCGGGAUGUUUGUUUUGGUAUUGUUGUUCCCUUGCCAAAAAAUUAUUAUAUUGCUUUUGUUCCCUUGUCGGGAAGUUAUUAAAUUUCUUUGUUCCCUUGCCCGAAUAUCUUGUAAUUAUGUGGUGAUAAUGAAAUGGGAGCGGGCGGUAUGCCUACCACGAUAUAUAGUGAAAUAGGAGUGGGUGGUAGCCUACAACGGGAUAUAAUGAAAUAGGAGCAGGUGGUACACCUACCAUGAGAUAUAAUGAAAUGGGAGCGGGUGGUACGCCUACCACGAGUUAUAAUAAAAUGAGAGCGGGUGGUACGCCUACCACGAGAUAUAAUAAAAUGAGAGGGAGUGGUACGCCUACCAUGAGAUAUAAUAAAAUGGGAGUGGAUAGUACGCUACCAUGAGAUAUAAUGACAUGGGAGCAGGUGGUACGCCUACCACGAGAUAUGAUGAAAUGGUAGCGGGUUAUACGCCUACCACGAGAUAUGAUGAAAUGGGAGCGAGUGGUACGCUUACGACGAGAUAUGAGAACUGGGAUCGGAUUGCACGCCUGCAACAAGAUGAAAUUGAAAGUGAAAGUUGCCUUUAUUUCUCUUUAUCCAUAUUAGAAGUUAAAUUAUAGUUUCCUUAUUAUUCUUUGAUAUUAUGUUUAUCUGCCACCUCCACAACAUGUUCCCUUUCCGCAGCUUUAAUUGUUUAUUAUCUGUUUACUUUUCCACCAUAUAUUAUAUAACUGCAUAGGUUUAUCUGGAGUCUGGUCCUAGCCUCGUCACUACCUCGCCGGGGUUAGGCCAGACACUUACCAGCACAUGGGUUCGGUUGUGCUGAUGCUACACUCUGCACUUAUGUUCAGAUACUAGAGCAGUGUUUUGGCAGCGGUAUUAGUUCGGGAGCUAACCUUGAGUCCACCAAGACUCCGAGGUAGCCUUGCAGGCGUCCGCAGGCCCAACUCUCCUCUAUCUUAUAUUUCAUUUUGUUAUAUCAUGUAUUCGAGACAAACAAUGUUUAUUUCUUUCAAACGAUUGCAUUUAGUACUCUUAGCAGUCUGUGGAUGUUGUGACAUGCACACUCUGGGCACGUAGCCGGAAAGUUUAAAUAUGAAGUUCUGUAAAAAGUGCUAAGUUUGGAUGAUAAAAUGAAUAAAUUUGACUUUGAUCAAUAUUUUGGGUAAACGAACCCGGACCCAUGAUUCGACAGUCCGGGGGGUCCUAGGAAAAUAUGAGACUUAGGCGUAUGCCCGGAAUUGAAUUCCGAGGUCCCAAGCCCGAGAAAUGAAUUUUUAGUGAAAUUGUUUAAGUAAAUUUGAAAUGAAAACUUAUUACAAAGCGAUGGAAUCGGUCCUGUAUUAUGGUUUCGACGCCUGGUACAGGCCUUAUAUAUGACUUGAGUCAUUCCUGUGAAAUUUGGUUUGAAACGGACCACGUUCGAUGUAAUCCGGACCUUCAUUGGGGAAAUUUGAUGUUUAAAGGAGUUUUGAGAAAUUUCAGUGAACUUGAGGUUUAAUUCAAUGUUCGUGAUGUCAAUUUGGUGAUCUGAUUACACAAAUAUUUUCGUAGAAUGUUUUUGAAGUUGUAUGUAUAUUUGGGUUGGAGUUUCGAGGGCUCGGGUGAGUUUCGGGUAGGUUCUGGGAUGCCUUAGGCUUAGAAAUCAGAUAUUGCAGGUUCAAGAUUUGCAGGCCUCUGAACCUACUUGUGCGUCCGCGAGAAAUCGCAUGCAAUCGCGGAGGGGCAAAUGCAACCAUGCUCACCUUUGUACAGUGCACGUUGGAGGCUAUGCAGCCGCAUUCGCCUUUGUGCAGUCCGCACAGGGUGCUGAACUGUAGGUCUUCAGGUAAGCCUGUACGUCCAUGGUCCAUUUAGUGCGGUUCGCACAGGGGGUCUACCAGAGGUAUAAAUAGACGGGAUUUUAAGUUAUUAUUCAUUUUUCAAAACCCUAAAAACAUAAGAGCGAUUUUUCAAAGCAAACUUUCUUCUCCAAAUCAAUUGUAAGUCGUUUUAACUAGUUUUCUUCAAUCAUUAACAUCUUUUAACAUGAUUUAACUUAAAAUAAAGGUUUUUCAUGGGGAAAUUGGGUGUUUGGGUAGAACUUAGAUUUUUCAAAAAUUGAGGAUUUGAACCUCAAUUUGGGGUUCGAUUUCAAAACAAAUUGCAUAUUAAAUUUUCAUGGGGUACAUUGGGUGUUUUGGGUAGAACCUAGGUUUCCCAAAAAUUGGGGAUUUUGACCUCAAUUUGAGGUCUGAUUUCAAAAACAAAUUACAUAUUUUGACUUUUGGGUAAAACUUUGGAAAACUCAUUUUCAUGUAUUGGGGUGGAUUCAUUUAGCGUUUAUUGAAGUAAAUAAGUUAUAUAUGAUUAGAUACGAACGAACUGGCGGUGGAAUCAAGGAACAAACCCAUAAUUGAGACUUGAGUAGUGUUCAAGGCAUUGAGGUAAGUGUUCGGUCUAACCUUAGCUUGAGGAAUUAGGAGUUGAGUCAUAUUUUCUACUUGCUCCUUGUUGUGUAUGACGUAUAGGCAUGGUGAAUACGUCGGCGUCAAGCAUGACCGUGAGUCUUAAAUUGAAAGUUGUUGUGUUCAUAAAUGACAUUUCGGAUGCCUUAACUAAUGAUCUACCAUAUCGCGCAAAGAUUUGUUUAUCCUCGUAGAUUCUAUUUAUGAUUGAGCAUUUUCAUUAAUUGAGCUGAAUGCAAGCUAAGUUAAGAUUGGUUAUAGCUGAUUCUCCCUUGCCAGGAUGAUUGUUUUGAUAUUAUUGUUCCCUUGCCGGAAAAUUAUUAUAUUGCUUUUGUUCCUUUAUCGAGAAGUUAUUAAAUUUCUUUGUUCCCCACCCGGGAUUUCUUGUAAUUAUGUGGCGAUAAUAAAAUGGGAGUGGGUGGUACGCCUACCACGAGAUAUAAUAAAAUAGGAGCGGGUGGUAUGCCUACCACGAGAUAUAAUAAAAUGAGAGCGGGUGGUACGCCUACCACAAGAUAUAAUUAAAUGGGAGAGGGUGGUACGUCCACCACGAGAUAUAAUAAAAUGGGAGUGGGUGGUACGUCUAUUACGAGAUAUAAUAAAAUGGGAGCUACGCCUACCAGGAGAUAUGAUGAAAUGGGAGCGGGUGGUAUGCCUACCACGAGAUAUAAUAAAAUGGGAGCGGUGGUAUGCCUGCUACAAGAUGAAAUUGUAAGUGAAAGUUGCCUUUGUUUUUCUUUAUCCAUGUUAGAAGUUAAAUUACAGUUUCCUUAUUGUUCUUUGAUAUUCUGUUUAUCUGACACCCCCGCAGCAGGUUCCCCUUCCCCAGCUUGAAUUUCUUGUUACUUGUUUACUUUUCCGCCAUGUAUUAUAUAACUACAUAGGUUUAUCUGGAGUCUGAUCCUAGCCUCGUCACUACCUCGCCAAGGUUAGGCCAGACACUUACCAGCACAAGGGGUCGGUUGUGCUGAUGAUACACUCUACACUAAUGUGCAGAUACCGGACCAACGUUUGGGCACCAGUAUUAGUUUGGGAGCUAGCCUUCAAUCCACCGAGACUCCAAGGUAGCCUUGCAGGCAUCCGCAGGACUGGCAUCUCCUAUAUCUUAUAUUUCAUACUGUUAUCUUAUGUAUUCAAGACAAACAGUAUUUAUUUCUUUCAAAUGGUUGUAUUUAGUACUCUUAGUAGUUCGUGGAUGUUGUGACACCAAGUGCUGGGUAGAGACUUGUAUUGGUUUUUUAGACAUUUACUUCUAUAUUCAUUUAAGACUUCCGCUAAUCUUACUUUUCGCUAUUCUUAAAAUAUUUAUUCAUUACUAAUAUAAUUGGUUUAAAAUAAACUAAAACAAAAUGGGGUAAUGACUUCCAAGAUUCAUAGCUUGCACGAGUAGGCGCCAUUACGAUUCACAAGGAUAGAAACUCCGGGACGUGACACAUUUCUUUUAGCAACUUAAUAUCCAUUUGUAUUAAAUGAAUAACAAACAACAAGAAGGACCCAAUUUAUAGACUUUUUAAGCUACCUAUAAAACAAACAGAACAGUCAUCCAUACAUCAAAAUAUGCAAAUCAAGAGACCAUGGACACAAAUAAAGCACUUAACAAAGAAUAUAUAAGAUCACUUGUAAUGUUGAAACAAUAAGGAAAAAGAAAACGAACCUUUAUUAGCUUUCAAAAUAUAUAAAGAAAAGCACGCCGAAGAAGCUGAAAACGAACAAACCCGCUAACAGGAGACCACGUCGGAACAUCGAAACUCGCAAGAAAAGCGUGUCGGAAAACUUCGACUCGAAACCAACCGAAAAUGUUGUGUUUUAGGUGCAACGGGAUUCCUCUAAGAUGUGGUUUAAUGUAGUUCUUUGGCUGGUUUUUUAGGUCAUUUUUGGGUGUGUUUGGGGUUAUGGUCGCUGCUAGUUUUCAGCUGGAGUCCAAGUGGAUAAAAGUAAACUCACAUGGCUAAAAAUGGAGAAUGAAGAUAACUGGUUUAAGGGACUUUUCUAUGGUUUUGUACGGCUGCUUCAACUCCUCUAUCUAAGGGUCUCUAAUGGUGAUGAAGAAGAAGAAAAAGCCUGGGGGAGGGGAUCUGAGAUCUGUGUCAAAAUGGUGCUGAUUUGCUUUUCUUCUUCGAUGCCUUUUCAGAUUUUUUAGGCGUUUUUCUUCUUGUUUUCUUCUUCUGUGUGUGCAUGUGUUGUAUAGAAAGAGAUCUCUAAUUUUUGCCCUCAUUCCCCUCUCUAAAUUUUUCUUCUUCCA